UAUUACAAUUACCUUUUUGCAGUAGUUUCAAACUUCAAAACAAUAACAACAGUUUUCUGUGUUUCUCAGUUUUCUCACAAAAAAGUCUCACAAUGGAUGGUUUAACAAGUAGAAAAGGACUUUAUACCAAUGGCAUACAUAUAUCCAGUGCAGAUAGUGUGUGGCUACUCAGGGUCUCUCCAUGGCAGAAGGGGCCCUUUGCUCCUCUUACAGAUAUUACAGCCAGGAUUCCAGAUCAUGCAUUUUGAGGGACGUAAAACCCAUCUGAACUUUGCUACUCCUAGGAUACCUUUCAAGAUGGAUGCUUUCAAUCAAUUUUUUAUUACAACAAAGGUCUUUGGGAAUAUCUAGGGUGCAGCUUUCUGAUGUUCUUGAAAGAUAAAGCACAAAAAAGCACAAACAGAGCAUUCCCAAGAAAUCCCCAACAAUCCUUAGCCUGUCUGUUUAGUAGCCGCAUACUUAAUUUUGAAUAUACCAACGUUUACUUUGCUGAAAAUAAUGGGGAAUAGAAAUCCCUUCUCCUUUAUCCCUAUUAUUUGCCAUAUUGGUUAAGAUAUUUUUUUAAUAUUCAAUUUUCCCCUUCUACGACUGAAAUGUUAGCAGUAAGAAAAAUUACACAAUUAUAGAGAAUGUGUAAAAGUAAGAACCUCUAAAUGAAAUACUUUUGGACAGUGCUUUGAAUUUGAAUAUCAUGGGAAUCUACUUUUCUGAAAAUUAUAUCAGCUAGGCCUCUACUUUGUAAGAGUGGCCUUUCCUUUUGUUACUAGAAAAGCCAGCCUGUAUUUAGCUGAUUUAUUGACUCAAAUAUUUCUGCUCUUCCCUCUCAUGAUUGGCAUUUUUUUUCUUUUCACUCGCUUAACUACCCACAUAUCCUUGGAAUAUGUACUGCUAAUAUAAGCCUGAACAUUUUAACAAAAUAUAAUUCAGACCUUAAUCAAAGUGAAUUUUUCAGUCAUAAAUGAAUUUGCAUAAUUUAUUCUUGAAAGUGCUAUCCUGUGUUGGAGUUUUUAGUCAUAGUGAACAUAAUGAUGCUGGAGUUAAUGGUGUGAACCUGACAAUUUUAUUAGAUAAAAUAUUGUUUUCAAGAAAAAAAAAUGUAGCUUAAUUUUUGCGUGCAUGAUAGCAAAGCAAAUUCAUUUUUAGGAUUUCUAACCAAAGGAAAAACUUUAUAAUAUAAAACCACGAUAGUUGGUUUGUAAGCAAAGAUAUAGCUGUCACAUAAGGUAUUUCUAAAUGUGUCUGAUAUAAUCACAAAGGACCCUUAUAAUACAGAGGAGGCAUUUAUACCUUUGCCAUUACAACCCCAAUCCACUCCCUAU
Molecule: long non-coding RNA, 1319 nt
Organism: Xenopus tropicalis (tropical clawed frog)
Lineage: Eukaryota; Metazoa; Chordata; Amphibia; Anura; Pipidae
Exons: 2
Source: RefSeq, a predicted model, not a curated record